ACCUGGGUGGCUCAGUCGGUUGAGCGUCUGACUUCAACUCAGGCCAUAAUCUCACAGCUCAUGAGUUCGAGCCUCAUGUCAGGCU
Molecule: non-coding RNA, 85 nt
Organism: Felis catus (domestic cat)
Lineage: Eukaryota; Metazoa; Chordata; Mammalia; Carnivora; Felidae
Source: Rfam